GGGUGGGGGUGUAAAGAGAAGAUGACUGCGACGGCGACGACGGCGAGGGAGGGGGGUGAGGGGAAAGGGAGGAGCUGGGGCGCGAUCCCAAAGGGGGGCGCGGCGGCGACGGCGCUGGGGGCCUACGGCGGGCGCCGGUACGGCGGCGGCGGGGGCGGGGGCGUCCCGCGGAGGUGUCCCCUAGGCGACAUGCUGCUCGAGACCGUGCGGACGCGGCCGGGCGAGCAGUGGCACGGCGCGCAGCCCCUGUACCAGAUGAUGAAGGGCGUCCCGGUGUAGCUCGUCCACCUCCGGAGGUACUUGGUCCAGCGGCGGUUGGUCUACGCGGAGAUGCUAGACGGGAGGUUCGACGAGACGGCGCAGGAGUUGCAGCUCGAGUUCCGCCUCCGCCUGUGCCUGCUCCAGAUGCGCGUCCAGUACGAGUACGGCCUCGGCCUUGUUUCACUCUGCUGUUGCCUCUUCAGCUCGGGACGUUGUCCUCCGCGGUGCGGACGGUCCGGCCGCCACUCCAGGAAGACGUUCUGCGAGUGGCGCAGGCUGUGGUCGUGUGUACCGCCGAAGAGCCACGACGCGGCGGUGCGACUACUCACGGAGGGAGGGGACCUAUACUGCGUCAGAGGAGGGUGUGUUCUCGAACACCGUUUCCUAGAAGUACCGUACCUCACCGCGAAGGCGGUGUAAAAGGCACCCGUUGGAUCCUCCGUAGAGGAAGUCUCGCCGACCUCGCAGAAACAGUCAAGGUUUUCCGAACAACGACCCCUGCGGAAGUAAAAGGAGUCUCCUCUCUCGCCACUCGAAGCACAACCACACUCCGCCCGAUACUCUGUCGAAAGGUUGUAUCGAAGAAGUCAGUAUAGAUCAGUAUCAUACGUGGAACCUCAGGAACGUUGACGUACCGUACGAUAGUUAUGUUUUUGGUACAAGUGACAGAUGAUGUUUGGGGCCUGUUCGGCAAGACUCAAGUAAUAUGGUAUACUAUUUAUAUACCUCAGACAAUUUUUGUAAAUAAGAUAACCCUGCUCCAAGUUCUACUCCAAACUUCCCCUUCUCCGUGGUCUCGUCUCCAAAUGACCCUGAUAUCACCCGUCACUAUUAGAACUAGUUAACACCGGCCUUAGUUCGACCUCUAGGGAAUUCCACGCAACCCUACUCAGCAGUUGAUAAGGUGCCGGCCUAUCUCAGAGAGGAACCCUUUAUCUCGGACGAAGUAGUGGAGGACAAUUGGGCGAAGGGUAAAGAGCCGGGUUUUCUAGAUCUGGUUUACAAGGAGGUCGAAGAGGACUUAGCAGACAAGCAUGUUUUCUUCCACGUUGAUUCCGACUAUACCUAACACGAGUUCGUGUUGCUUUAGUUUUAUUGUGACGGAACGGUCCAGUUCUUGUCUCCUCGUUAUUCGAUUGACUGUAAUUACUGAAACUACGAUCACAAGUCUUCGGAUACUACACCAGUGGUGGUGGUGGUGGGUUGUAGCCUUUUUUGUUGGGUGAUUGCAAAGUCGUCUCCGGGAGACACGUAUUAAGCAAAGUCAACCCUUCCGCACUUUGACUGAAAUUCCUACGGUCAAGACCACGAGUUGGAAAACCACUAAGGGAUCCGAAGAAGUACGUCUGUUGGAAACUACUCCGAGGUUUAGCAGAAUCAAGUAAGUUCUUGGUCAAAGUCCUGGUGUCAAUACGAGCAGUUAUGCGUCUAGGCAUGAAUAAAUACGUAGUCGUUGGAAGGAACUGACAACUUAGUUCAUCUUUCUACGUGUGUCUCUUGUUACUCUACGUAAAGACCUUACCCGGCUCGUGACGCAUGUCAUUAAGUUCUCUAGUUCGUGUUCUGAAGUCUAAAUGUCUUGUGGGUAGUUUAACCAAUUCAGGCGUCAAGAGGGCCCGUCUUGUCGGUGCUCACUAGUCCGGAGUGCGUAGUUAUCGAGGAUAACUCGACCUCUUUUGUUGUCUUCCGUCACUAAAGUUCUAGAAACCCAAAUUUCAACUAUGACGGUCACGACCAAAAUUGGUAAACUUGAGGGGUUACCGACCUUGCGUACUCGGACACGAUGUUUGAGUUGGUAGACAUAGUAAUCUAGUAAACGUUUGACUAACAAGAGGACUCCACAGGAAUUCGUAACGACCCUGCUGACUCUUACUCUUUUUGUACGUCGUUACAGGCGUCUCAAGUUUUCUGCAGGUUUCGUUCAGGGUACCACGAAGGUGUUCCUCAACGUGUUUCCAAGUAUUCGUUCCACAACGUGAACCAUCUAGUCACCUAGAGAGUUUCAAGCAACUGAUACUACUUGAGUGUCGACUCGAUCUGUUCUACAAACUUAAACUACCACUUGACAACAGGAGUUUGUUUUUAACCGUCUAGCAAAUAUGACUGUUGCUCCCACUGUACUACGAGCACCCUCUGCUAGGUACCCUCCUCAAGACGUCGUAUCACGCGUUCUAUACGUAAAUGUGGUUCCUCCUCCAGGUCUUCUACUUGAGCUUUGGUAGACCGGGUUUUUUCCUCCUUCCAAGUCACCUACCACUGCCGCGUUGGCUCUUCCGGGUAGAAGGGCGUAGUUCGCUAAAUUUAAGAUCGGUUGAUCCAUACACGAAAAAUUUUGGUGUACGUUAACCAGUUCAAGUGUGACAAAAGCCACGUAAGUUAGGGGGGUAAAUGGAUUUGGCUGAUCGGCGUUCGUACCAAACGUACUAUAACAACAAACGAUAGUGUUCGUAGUGGGCGGCCUUCGCCGACUGGCAAGUCUACAACCGGAACCGCCAGAGACGUCCAACACAGUUCCGGCUGACUCCGCUCCAUAGCGCCCCCCGAUCCAGGGUCGUUUCUUCAUUGUUGGGGACUUUCAUACCAGAUAGCGAUAACGAUAACAACUAGUGGUGGUUGAGGGGGUGAGGGGAAGACUACGUUGUUGGGAAACCGACAUGACAUCAAUGAUCAUCCUUUACAUCUCUGAAACCACGCGUUAGCGCGAACAGCCGACCAAACAAGAAGCCGUCUCUCUCUCUAGGUCCCGGUUCCGACAGGGAAACGAACCUACGAGUAACCACUAGGCUAGGUAGGGACUACAUUUAUAAAUACAUACAUCCAUCGCAAUCAUACAUUAGACAGACAUAAUUGGUAGGUACUUGGUCGUUACAGAUAGAUAAGGCCCUCACUGUCACCAUCAUCAUGUACAUACGGACUGGCUAGGACAAAUUACAUACACCACGGAACAGCGAACGACACCUCAACCGU
RNAcentral lists this ribosomal RNA (3228 nucleotides) under Triticum aestivum (bread wheat). RNAcentral's name for it is "partial small subunit ribosomal RNA". Lineage: Eukaryota; Viridiplantae; Streptophyta; Magnoliopsida; Poales; Poaceae. The record is from RNAcentral.